Molecule: ribosomal RNA, 253 nt
Filed under: uncultured bacterium
Lineage: Bacteria
Description: partial 16S ribosomal RNA
Rfam family: Bacterial small subunit ribosomal RNA
Source: RNAcentral
UACGGGGGGAGCGAGCGUUGUCCGGAAUUACUGGGCGUAAAGGGCGUGUAGGUGGUUAGAUAAGUCAGAUGUGAAAGCUUCCGGCUUAACCGGAAAACUGCAUUUGAAACUGUAUAGCUUGAGUGCGAGAGAGGGUAGCGGAAUUCCCAGUGUAGCGGUGAAAUGCGUAGAUAUUGGGAAGAACACCAGUAGCGAAGGCGGCUACCUGGCUCGCAACUGACGCUAAUGCGCGAAAGCGUGGGGAGCAAACAGG